GAUAGGACACCCCCGCGGUUCAUCCGGAGCGGGGCAUUGAAACGGGGGAAAUCGAACGCAGAAUAGAAGACUGGAAUUUCACUUGUAGCUGUGAAAUGCGUAGAGAUGUGGAGGAACACCAGUGGCGAAGACGACUUUUUGGUCUGUAACUGACGAUGAGGCGUGAAAGUGUGGGGAGCAAACAGGAUUAGAUACCUGGUAGUCCACGCCGUAAACGAUGAGUGCUAAGUGUUAGAGGGUUUUCCGCCCUUUAGUGCUGCAGCAAACGCAUUAAGCACUCCGCCUGGGGAGUACGGCCGCAAGGCUGAAACUCAAAGGAAUUGACGGGGGCCCGCACAAGCGGUGGAGCAUGUGGUUUAAUUUGAAGCAACGCGAAGAACCUUACCAGGUCUUGACAUCUCCUGACAACCCUAGAGAUAGGGCGUUCCCCUUCGGGGGACAGGAUGACAGGUGGUGCAUGGUUGUCGUCAGCUCGUGUCGUGAGAUGUUGGGUUAAGUCCCGCAACGAGCGCAACCCUUGAUCUUAGUUGCCAGCAUUCAGUUGGGCACUCUAAGGUGACUGCCGGUGACAAACCGGAGGAAGGUGGGGAUGACGUCAAAUCAUCAUGCCCCUUAUGACCUGGGCUACACACGUGCUACAAUGGAUGGUACAAAGGGCUGCAAGACCGCGAGGUUAAGCGAAUCCCAUAAAACCAUUCUCAGUUCGGAUUGCAGGCUGCAACUCGCCUGCAUGAAGCCGGAAUCGCUAGUAAUCGCGGAUCAGCAUGCCGCGGUGAAUACGUUCCCGGGCCUUGUACACACCGCCCGUCACACCACGAGAGUUUGUAACACCCGAAGUCGGUGGGGUAACCUUUUGGAGCCAGCCGCUAAGGGGGAACAAAAUU
This 884-nucleotide ribosomal RNA is filed under the name Bacillus infantis. Its description in RNAcentral is "bacterial SSU rRNA". It matches the Rfam family "Bacterial small subunit ribosomal RNA", at positions 590 to 1474 of the family's 1533-position model. Lineage: Bacteria; Bacillati; Bacillota; Bacilli; Caryophanales; Bacillaceae. The record is from RNAcentral.